RNAcentral lists this long non-coding RNA (496 nucleotides) under Olea europaea (common olive). RNAcentral describes it as "long non-coding RNA (OEUR_LNC000598)". Lineage: Eukaryota; Viridiplantae; Streptophyta; Magnoliopsida; Lamiales; Oleaceae. The record is from RNAcentral.
GAAUAGGAGUUGUUGAUGCCAGAACCUUCGAAGGAGAGGCUGAGCUUUUCUGAGAAGUCCAAAAGAUCAUCAGCAUACAGAAAAGUUUCAAAUGUAGAAAAGUAUACUUGUAAGUAGACCAAUUUAAUUACCUUCCUCCUGACGAUAAGAGGGGCAUCAUCGUCAUCAUCAACAUCAUCCUCCAGAAUGGGAGAUGUUGAGGCUGGCCGUUUGCGGCUUGGGGCACUCUUGGCCGUAGUAGGCUUGGCAGGGAGAGAAGAAGAUGGACGAGCAGAAUGUUUAGUGCGACGAGAAGGAGAAGGACUCCGAAUGGACAAGGGAGUGACUAAAACAGGAGGAAGAGAAGAAAUGCUCGGUUGGUCUAAUAAAUGAAAGGCACGAUUGGCGUCAGUCGCAAAUAAUCUGCGCUUCACUGACGACUAGAGCUGCUCAAAAAGAGGGUGAGUGGCAUGACAAGAAUUAAAAGGGGCUAAUGAAAAGUGGCUUGAUAAAUGGA